RNAcentral lists this long non-coding RNA (401 nucleotides) under Anser brachyrhynchus (Pink-footed goose). RNAcentral's name for it is "lncRNA (ENSABRG00000004013.1)". Lineage: Eukaryota; Metazoa; Chordata; Aves; Anseriformes; Anatidae. The record is from RNAcentral.
CCCAAGAGAGCUCCCCCAGAGAAAAAAAUUUCUGUUCCAAAAAGAGAAGAAGCUCCACCACCUAAAGUGCCAGAAGUACCCAAGAAAACAGCUCCAGAAGAAAAACUACCUUAUGCUCCCAAAGUAGAAGAGGCUCCACCUGCAAAAGUGCCUGCAGUUCCUAUAAAACCUGUCCCUAAAGAAAAAGUACCUCCUGCUGUUCCUAAGAAAGUUGAAGCUCCUCGAGCUAAAGUGCCUGAAGUGCAGAAGAAAGCAACUUUUGAAGAAAGAAUAUUCAAAACAGAAGAAAGAAUAUCUGUAGCCAUUCCAGAGGAAAUUUCACCACCUGAAGGUACUCUAUAAACAAACACUAAUGAGAAACUUGUGCUUUUACUAGAAGUCUGUUGUUCUAAAACCAAGAU